Pelobates cultripes (western spadefoot toad) is the source of this 232-nucleotide non-coding RNA. NCBI's taxonomy places the organism in Eukaryota, Metazoa, Chordata, Amphibia, Anura, Pelobatidae. The record is from the annotation of a GenBank genome assembly.
GGGUGACUAGUGGCAGAGUGAGGGGGGGAAGGGGUGACUAGUGACAGAGUGAGGGGAUGACUGGUGACAGAGUGAGGGGGGGGUGACUGUCACUAGUCACCCCAUCCCUCUCUCUGUCACUAGUUACUCCCUCCCUAACUCUGUCACUGUGUCACCCGCUCCCUCACUCUGUCACUAGUCACCCCCUUACUCUGUCACUGUGUUACCCCCUCCCUCUGUCACUAGUCACCCC